AAAUAAAUUGAUUUUUGCAAAUUCUCUUCUUUUUUUUGUGGGUUGCCAUCUAAGCCUAGUAAACCUAAGUAUAAAUAUAAUGUUUUAUCAAAAUAAUCAGCCUUUGAAUCGUUUUUUCUUCUACGUUAGCCGUCCCUAACCUCCUCUCCCUCUCUUUAUCUUUACUUUUUUUCUUUUCCCUUUUUCCUACAUUGUUCACAUUGUCUACACCUCCCCUUUUACCAUCUUCUUCUUUUUUUGCAGCAAGAUUGUGCACCAUCUUCUUUACUAUAUUGC
This 276-nucleotide long non-coding RNA is filed under the name Gossypium raimondii (Peruvian cotton). Its description in RNAcentral is "long non-coding RNA (GRAI_LNC011119)". Lineage: Eukaryota; Viridiplantae; Streptophyta; Magnoliopsida; Malvales; Malvaceae. The record is from RNAcentral.